AUUUUAACAAAGAAAAGAUAAGUAGUGUUGUAGCGUUAAAAAGAGAGUUUACGUUUGGUGAAAGUAGACAUCGCGAACACGUGAAAAUGGUCUUGGAGUUACUGUUAUUGCGAACGCACGCUGAUUCAUUUGUUGAAACGACGCAAGCGAUAACCGGGAGAGCCCGAUAUAGCGACAUCAAUUCUCAAUAUUAUGUACAGAUGUUCUCGAAGCAUAAUAAAGAUGAUUGAUAUUGAGGUGUGUAGGCUAUUUGUCGACACAUAAACACCGGGUGGUAACACGACGAGUCGUCCCGCAG
RNAcentral lists this non-coding RNA (298 nucleotides) under Leuconostoc suionicum. The record is from RNAcentral. Lineage: Bacteria; Bacillati; Bacillota; Bacilli; Lactobacillales; Lactobacillaceae.